Molecule: long non-coding RNA, 5872 nt
Filed under: Malus domestica (apple)
Lineage: Eukaryota; Viridiplantae; Streptophyta; Magnoliopsida; Rosales; Rosaceae
Description: long non-coding RNA (MDOM_LNC019887)
Source: RNAcentral
UCAAUCUAGUUAAUUUGGGGCAUUGUCAUUCAUGGUUUGUUGAAAGAGUAACUGGAAAUCGAGUAGUAUGUAUAUGUUUCAUGUGUGGAGAAGGAACCCUCUAACUAGCCUUUCACCAUCUUAAUUUCCAUCAAAUCGUUUUUGUCAAGUUUGUUUUCAAAGUUUCUGUUUUAAAAGUUAAAUUCGUCAAAACCAAACCCCUUGCUUUUAAAUCUUGUUUUUAGAGUCAAAACUUGUUUCUUUUAAGUCUUUUGAGUCUUUGAAGUUCUAUUUUCGUCCAAAUCACUUGUUAGGUCUAGAAUUGAGUUUUUUUUUUAUUGUUUCUUGCUGUUUUUAGUGUUUUAAAGUUAGUUUUGAGUCUAUAGAGUCUAGUUUAGUGUUUUUGAGUCUUAUUUGUGUUGAUUAGCAUCCCUAGUUAAUCCCCGGUUUAGAACGAUCCCUACUUGCUUAAAUACUACAAUUGUCAUCAAUAGGGUUUAAUUUGUGGGUCAAUAUAAUUUUCACAUCAAAUUUUGGCGCCGUUGCCGGGGAUUAGCAAAAUUGCUAAUCCCCCUUUGUUUCUUUUUCGUGUCUUUUGUUUUUCGUUUCUGAUUUUGUUUCAUUUAUUUUACUUUUGAUAUUUGAUUAAGUUUUCUUUCUUUGAUUUCAGGUUCUAGCGAAGUAAGACAUGGAUUUUGCUAACAUUCAAGCUCAAUUAGCGAAUCUUACUUCUCAAUUAUCACAGAUUGCCGGAAGGACUACAAUGCAAAGUGUCCCUACAUUUGGUGUGUCUUAUGGGCACGGAUAUCAAACUCAUCAACAUCCUCAAUUCACUGUGAACGAAGAUGCUUGGGGUUAUCAAGGCUAUGAUCAACCAAGCAACAACAUGUUUUCCAACACUUACAAUUCGGCUUGGAGAGAUCAUUCAAAUUAUAUGUGGGGGGAACCUCAACAAUUCCAACAAGAUGGAUAUUGGCAGCAAGAGGAGGAGUUCUAUUCAAGACCUAUGCAAUAUGCCCAAUCAAACUCAGGUUCGUCAAUAAAUUAUAAUCAAAUUCUUAAUGAAUUAAAUUGUUUGGUGCAGGGCUCACAAAAUCAAGCCAAUAAGGCUCAACAAGAUGCAUAUUGGCAGCCAUAUGAGGAGUUCUACACCACACCUAUACAGCCACCACCGCAUACCCCACAACAAUUCCAAUCAAAAUUCAAGUAUGUCCAUGGAUAGUGAUCAAAUUCUUCAAGUACUAACCUCUUUGACGCAGGACCAACAAAAUCAAGACAAGAAGUUGGAUAAAUUGAAGAGUCAAAUGGGAGAGAUUAUGGAAUUCAUGGUACAAAUUCAAGAGCAAAGUGAACUCUCCAACUCAACUGUUGAAAAUUCGAAGGAAGAUUUUGAAAUCCACGAUGCUAUCACUUUGGGAAGUGCUAUGGAAGUUGGAGCUGGCCUAAAAACGUCCAAACAUAGCCUAGAAGUGGAUGAGGAGGAGGAAGCAGACAUACACACGGCAAGGGUAGAACAACCCUUGCCGCAGCCCCUUAAGCCCUCUAGCCCACCCACCACAAGUAAGGACGUCCUAAUUUCAUUUCAUUCUAAUGUUAUUCCUCCGAAUGUCCCUUUUCCUAGCAGGUUUUUGAUUCCCAAGAAAGAAGAGAGUGAAAAAGACAUCGUGGAAGCCUUCCCAAGUGUGCAAAAUGAUAUUCCAAUUCUUGGCACACCCACUCAAGUACCAGAUUGUGUUGAAGGGUUCAAAGAACCUAGUUCACCACAAAGAAAGAGUCAAGAAAAAGAAGUGGCUGGUGAAUUUCAAGAAUUCAUUAAAGAGCAUGUAAUUGAGACAACCAUCCCCAAAGAAGUUGAGUUUGAUGACACGGGACAAAUCACAACCAUCGUAGUACAUCUAGCCAAAUUCAAAGUCCCUGAAACUUUCAAAGAAGUGGCACCCACGUUAGAAUUUAAACCAUUUCUGGAUCAUUUCAAGUAUCACCGUCCAUUCAAAGAUCAAUUCCAUGUCAUGGCCACCAAUGGAGCUUAAUUGGAGGUAUCGUCCGGCUGGAAGACGUUAAAGCAAGCGCUUCUUGGGAGGCAACCCAUGCAAAUAAAGAAGACCUAGGAAGCUCCGGCAUCACAACCAGAUUUGCGUUCCUAAACCCUACUCUUUAUUGCUUUUACUUUGCCAUAUUUGUCAUGUUUGCUAGUUGUGUUAUUUGCGUGCUUUUGUGUGAGUCUAUGUUUGAAACAUUGAGGACAAUGUUUGGUUUAAGUGUGGGGGGGUAAACAAAGUGUUUUUGUGUCAAAUUCGUAGGAUUUUAUCACCUAACAUUUCAAAGGUUGUUUUUCAUCGUUUUUAAGUGUUUUUAGAAAGUUUUGAUGUGUUUUAUGUGGCUUUACCAGAAAAUCCGAAAAUUCAAGAAAAAAAAUAGAAAAAGUUUUGAAAAAAAACCUAAAAAGAGUCGUUUUAAAAGUUGUUUUUGUGUGUUUGUGUCGUAGAGUACCUUCCAACACAAUGAUGAGGAUUUGGUUUUUAAUUGCAUGACCGUUAAAGAAAGUUACAAACAUGGAUGGAAGUUUGAUAUGCUCUUUUGUUUAUGCUUGGUCAUCGUUGUUGUUUACGAAUUCACAUAUAAUCACAAAGAAAGAAAAAAUCAGUUUUUGUAACAUGCUUGAAGGAAGUAACUCAAACUAACGCUACAACCUUGUGAGACUUGAGCCUAAACGUUUAUUUGGAGAGUUAAUAACCUUUGAAUUUGUUGUUUUCUAAAGUCGUUGCAUGAUCUCAUCAUUCUUUGCUUGGUUGCUACUUAGAAGGCGUGUCAUCAUUAUAGAUCCAAAUAUUAGAACUCAUACCCAUUUCAUUCAAAACUUAAAAUUGAGUGCAUAACAUAUAACAAGAUGAAGUGUUUAGUAGUUAUCACCAGAGCCAAAAAGCCUUCAACCCAUGCAUUUGUUUUUUGUAGGAUUAACCCCUUUGAGCCUUAUUUAGCCUAUUUUUGUUGUUAGCCACAUUAUCCGUACCUAGCCUAGAGUAGGACUAUCCAUACCCUUGUUCUUAAAGGAUAAUAAAGCAUGACUUAGAGGGAAUUCCUUUUGAUCAAUGUGUGCAGAAAACUAAGUGUGGGGGAAGGGAAAGUUUGUGUGCCAAAAGAAGUAAGGAGGGCACCGGUAGAAAAGAAAAAAAAAAAAAAAAAUUCGUGGAAAUAAGAAAAGAAAAUAAAAAGUGUGUGAAAAGAAAGAAAAAGAGUUGAAAAUAAGUGAGAAUUAACUCACAUGUGUUGGUUGUUGGAGAAAGGGUCCAAAAAGAUUGAAUUUGACCCUAAGUGUUGCAUGAGUCUUCCCCUUGAGUUUAAACAUUGAUUUUUGCAUGCAAAAGUGAAUUCUAAGUGUCAAUUUCAUUACUUUGCUUAUUAUUCUUUAAGAAUGUUUGUUUAUCCUUACCUUUCUUUGUUAGCCAAUACCUUAGCCCCGUUACAACCCUUUGCUUCUAUCUUGAUUGUUAUGUGUUUCAAUAUGUGGAGUUUGGAAUUGGUAUGAGCAUAUGUUAUCCCUGGUUCUCGCAUCUAAGUAGUAGCAUUCCAUUCAUGAGAUUGUAUACAUACAUUCAUAAUUCCAGAAAAUGCUUUUAUUGUCAUAACAUAUAUGUGAGCAUUCGUUUUCAUAUUUACAUCAAUCUUCUCACAUAUAACUAGUGUAGGGUGUGUAGUCAGAAAAUCUAAGUGAAAACAAGAGUGUAUAUCUAGUGAGGAAUUGAGGGAUUCUCUAAGGCAUGUUACUACAUUCAAAACAUUGUUUUAAUUGAUUAAAUGUGAGCUAGUAAGUGAUGACUAUGAUUAAGUAUGUGCUUAAGUGUAAAGAUGGCUAAAAUCUAUGUGGAGUAGUAAUCUUUGGCGUGUCAUGUACCAUUGGAAAUCCCUGAGGCGAUUGUUGGAAGGUUUAGGUUAUGUUUUGUUUCGUUGUUUUGCUCGAGGACUAGCAAAAGCUAAGUGUGGGGGAAUUUGAUAGGAGCAUAUUUAUGCGCCUUAGUUAGUUAGUUCUUAUGCAUUUAUGUUGUGUUUUCUUAGUUAAAGUUAGUCUUUUAAGCUAUUUUCAUGUGUUUUCAGGUUUUAGAGACAAAGUGAGCAAAAGGAUGCAAUUUGGAGCAUUUUGGAGCAAAAUUGGGCUAGAAUGGAGUUCAUGCACAUGAAGCACAAGGGAUGGACGAAUUUGAAGGAUUGAUGAAGCUAGGAAGGUGUUUCAAAGUUGAAGAAUUGAAGAUACAAAGUUUCCUAGUUGAAGUAGGAAAGGGCUUAAUGAAGGAUUCCUAAAUGAAGAAGGAUUCCUAAUCAAUGUAGGAGUCCUAAUUGAAGAUGGAUUCCUAGACGAAUGAAGUUUCCUACUCAAGCAAGGUUUCCUACAUGAAGAAGAAGAAUUAAAGCCAAAGAAUCAGCUCAAGAGAAGGAUCUUAUCCAAAACCUCAUCCAUAACCUUAUCUUAGCUUAUCUUAUCCAAACAAACCUUAUCCUAUCUUAUCUUAUCCUAAUCCUAAAUUAUCCACAUUCCAGCCACUUAGGAGGGUUUCUAACUAGAUUAGGAUGCUUAAAAUGGGAUUUCUAGAAGACCUAAUCCUUUCCUACAAAGGUGCCACACCUUAUCCCUUGUUUUUUCUAGAAAUCAGCCACAAAACAACCUUUCUAGAAGGCCUUAUCCCUUGUCCUACAAAAGUGACGCCCCAAACCUUUCUAGGACUCCUAGAAACCUGAUUAUUCCUUUCCCCUUGGUUUCUAAAAGCCUUAGCCUUUUCCUUCAAGGAUUGUGUGUUUAUUAUCCUAUACAAAUUAGGCUUUUAAAUCCUUUUCCUUUGCUACAUAGGGGCUGCGAAUUUCAGCCUAUAAAUACCACCCUUUGCUGCACCAUUUAGUCACCAUCCUCUACCAUAUUUUCACUACACCAUUCACCCAAACAUACCUCAUUGUGUGCCGUGAGUUUGCAAGGAGAAAGAAGGAAGAACUCUUGGAGCCGUGCAUGCCAUUCAAGGAGCUUGGAUUGUGGGAGCGUUUCUAGGUGUUUUCUAUCUUUGUUUUAAUGUUUAAAUUUAUUUAUCUUUGUUUAUUUGCGAGUAUGAGGAACUAAUUUCUUUAUAGGCUAGGGGGGAUUCGAAAGCCAUGAUCAUAUGUUUUAUAUGACUUUGAUUACUUCCAAUUAUGAUUUCAUGAAGUUGUGAAUGUGGUUUACUUAUCUAUGUGAAUUGAUAACUUAUUCUUGUAUGUUGAUUGAGGGUCGACACUUAGUUUGCAUGCAUGAAUUUGAUGCUAGAGUAUAAAGGGAAUUUCACCUAAUCGUUAUGAACUUAUAUUCAUAAGUAGUAAAAGGUCGCUUGAGUCACGAUUGUGUUAAGUAAAUUCUUGGCAAAAGUAACAUGCGUAUCCCAUAGUUAUGAAGUGCUUCGUCAAUGCUUAUGAUUUUCCAUUGAACUUAAUGAUCUUUGAUAUGUGUCUCUAUCAUGCGUAUUCCAUAGUUAGGGUCCUUGAUAAGAAUAAUUUGGUUGUAAUGCGUAUCCCAUUCAAUUCAAUGAAUCUAGGGAAAUCUGAGAAUUAAUUGGUCAAUCUAGUUAAUUUGGGGCAUUGUCAUUCAUGGUUUAUUGAAAGAGUAAUUGGAAAUCGAGUCGUAUGCAUAUGUUUCAUGUGUGGAGAAGGAACCUCUAACUAGCCUUUCACCAUCUUAAUUUCAUCAAAUCGUUUUUUGUCAAGUUUGUUUUCAAAGUUUCUGUUUUUAAAAGUUAAAAUUCGUCAAAAUCAAACCCCUUGCUUUAAAUCUUGUUUGUUUUUAGAAAUCAAAACUUGUUUCUUUUAAGUCUUUUGAGUCUUUGAAGUUCUAAUUUUCGUCCAAAUCACUUGUUAGGUCUAGAAUUGAGUUUUUUUUUUU